RNAcentral lists this ribosomal RNA (494 nucleotides) under uncultured bacterium. RNAcentral's name for it is "partial 16S ribosomal RNA". It matches the Rfam family "Bacterial small subunit ribosomal RNA", at positions 28 to 507 of the family's 1533-position model. The record is from RNAcentral.
GACGAACGCUGGCGGCGUGCUUAACACAUGCAAGUCGAACGGAAAGGCCUGCUUUCCCUUGUGGAUUGCGGGUGCUCGAGUGGCGAACGGGUGAGUAACACGUGAGUGAUCUGCCCCCAACUUGGGUAUAAGCCUGGGAAACUGGGUCUAAUUCCCGAUAGGACUGCAGGGUGGUGCCUGUGGUGGAAAACGAUUUUCUAGUGGUUGGGGAUGAGCUCGCGGCCUAUCAGCUUGUUGGUGGGGUAAUGGCCUACCAAGGCGGCGACGGGUAGCCGGCCUGGGAGGGUGGACGGCCACAUUGGGACUGAGAUACGGCCCAGACUCCUACGGGAGGCAGCAGUGGGGAAUAUUGCACAAUGGGCGGAAGCCUGAUGCAGCGACGCCGCGUGGGGGAUGACGGCCUUCGGGUUGUAAACUCCUUUCGACCGCGAGGAAGCCACCUGGUUGGAAGGGUGGUGACGGUAGUGGUAGAAGAAGCACCGGCUAACUACGUG